AAAGUAUUGUCAGAAAGAGUGUGAAAAAAAGGUGUAGACCAGACCCAUGACUUGCUCCUAAACAACAGAAUAUGACAAAUGGAAUGGCACGUCACUCCCAUGAUUAUGUGAUGUUAUAUGACUGUGUCUUGCUAGCUGGCUGGCUCCACAGACGUUCUCUCUCCCUUGCUGGCUGUGAAGAAGCAAGCUGCCAGAACUCCUAAAGCCACAUGGAGCUCAUUGCUGCCAAAAGGAAUUGGGAAGCAAAUCCUUCCCUAGCUGAGCCUCCAGUUGAGAGCCAGUCCUGGCCAACACCUUGAAUGUAGCCUUGUAAGACCUUCUGAGGAGGACCAAGCUAUGCCGUAUCCAGAUGUGUGACCUGCAGAAACUCUGAGGUAAUAAUUGUGUGCUGAUUCAAGCUCCCAUGUUUGCAGUAAUUUCUUACGCAGCAUAGAAACAUAGACUACAAAUGUCUGGAAAAGAAUAGCAUGUGGCUUUUUAGCCAACCUGUGUGUGAUUUCAAGGGAGCAGGAGAUUUUAGAGGCAAUUAGUCUUAUAAAGGAUAUAUGAGUCCAUUUUGCACUGCUAUGAAGGAAUAGCAGAGACUGGGUAAUUUUACAAGGAAAAUAGGCUUAUUUGACUCAUGGUUCUGCAGGCUGCACAAGAAGCAUGGUGCCAGCAUCAGUUUUUAAUGCGGGCCUCAGGACACGUACAGUCAUAGUGGAAGGCAAGAGGAGCUGGAUGUGGCACACCUUAAGAGAGGAGGCAAGACAGAGGGUGCAAGAAGUUCCAGAAUCUUUAACUACCAGAUCUUAUGUGAACUUAUGACUGUGGGGAGGGCACCAAGCCAUUCAUGAGGGAUCUGCCCCCAUGACCUCCCACUAAGCCCCACCU
This 873-nucleotide long non-coding RNA is filed under the name Homo sapiens (human). Its description in RNAcentral is "HSALNT0160316". Lineage: Eukaryota; Metazoa; Chordata; Mammalia; Primates; Hominidae. The record is from RNAcentral.